UACGGGGGGGGCAAGCGUUGUUCGGAAUUACUGGGCGUAAAGGGCUCGUAGGUGGCCAACUAAGUCAGACAUGAAAUCCCUCGGCUUAACCGGGGAACUGCGUCUGAUACUGGAUGGCUUGAGAUUGGGAGAGGGAUGCGGAAUUCCAGGUGUAGCGGUGAAAUGCGUAGAUAUCUGGAGGAACACCGGUGGCGAAGGCGGCAUCCUGGACCAACACUGACACUGAGGAGCGAAAGCCAGGGGAGCAAACGGG
This 253-nucleotide ribosomal RNA is filed under the name uncultured bacterium. RNAcentral's name for it is "partial 16S ribosomal RNA". It matches the Rfam family "Bacterial small subunit ribosomal RNA", at positions 524 to 776 of the family's 1533-position model. The record is from RNAcentral.